RNAcentral lists this long non-coding RNA (424 nucleotides) under Bos taurus (domestic cattle). RNAcentral describes it as "long non-coding RNA NONBTAT023880". The record is from RNAcentral. Lineage: Eukaryota; Metazoa; Chordata; Mammalia; Artiodactyla; Bovidae.
UGCAGAUAGAUUAUUUGGUGAUUUUUAUUUAAAUAUUUGAAGAGGGGAACUACAGAGCAGUGAAAGUACAUACAUGUUCCAAUAGUAAAGGACACACAAACAUUUCUUGUGGGAAACUAUCACCUACCAAUUUCAGCUUUGUAGUUGAAUGUUGGCCACGUAGUUCUAUAGUAUAUAUACUGAAGUCUGGGUAAUGAAAAAUGAUGUGGAAAUUGGUUGAAUCACCCAGUUGUUGUUUGCUUCUUUCAGAAUUAUAUGUAAGCACAUACACAUUUGUAAUACACAGAAACAUAAUGCAUAUUUACAUAUGUGACCAAUCACUUGGUUUGGCUUUUUAUCACAAUGACUGCUCAAAAUUCUGUAUGUUUAAAAACUUUACUAUGUAGGUCUUAAACUAAGUUUCAAAAUGAACAAAGCAACACGU